Molecule: transfer-messenger RNA, 345 nt
Filed under: Alphaproteobacteria bacterium
Lineage: Bacteria; Pseudomonadati; Pseudomonadota; Alphaproteobacteria
Rfam family: Alphaproteobacteria transfer-messenger RNA
About the family: Bacterial tmRNA, also known as 10Sa RNA or SsrA, is named for its dual tRNA and mRNA-like properties.
Source: RNAcentral
GAUAUUGCUUUUUUUUGCAAGGCGUGCUAUAUAAAAACUUGUCGGGUAACCGACUGUGACACCAGAGGCGCUGUGAAAUAGGCAUGUUGGACCCGAGGGCAGUACUCGGCACCUCCACCAAUAUUUUUAAGGGGGUGAAACAGGUUAGACAGUGUGCAGUAAAGAUGGUAUGCUGUGUUCGGUGAGAUACCACCGUUAUCGGUUCAAAUUAAAUAAACGCAAAUGAUAAUUUUGCACCUGUUGCUUUAGCUGCUUAAUUUAGGCACAUGCAACAAAAUAAAAUUCUUUGAAAUUUGGUUUUUUCAAAGUGAGGUUUGGGCCACCCAGCAACAGAACGGCCUUUUU